AGAUUGAACGCUGGCGGCAUGCCUUACACAUGCAAGUCGAACGGCAGCACGGGAGCAAUCCUGGUGGCGAGUGGCGAACGGGUGAGUAAUAUAUCGGAACGUGCCCAGUCGUGGGGGAUAACGCAGCGAAAGCUGUGCUAAUACCGCAUACGAUCUAUGGAUGAAAGCGGGGGAUCGCAAGACCUCGCGCGAUUGGAGCGGCCGAUAUCAGAUUAGCUAGUUGGUGGGUAAAAGCCUACCAAGGCGACGAUCUGUAGCUGGUCUGAGACCCGGACGACCAGCCACACUGGAACUGAGACACGGUCCAGACUCCUACGGGAGGCAGCAGGUGGGGUAAUUUUGGAACAAGUGGGCGACAAGCCUGAUCCAGCAAUGCCGCGUGCAGGAUGAAGGCCUUGGUUAGUAAC
Molecule: ribosomal RNA, 407 nt
Filed under: uncultured soil bacterium
Lineage: Bacteria
Description: bacterial SSU rRNA
Rfam family: Bacterial small subunit ribosomal RNA
Source: RNAcentral